UCAUUUCUUCGGGGCAGGGUGAAAUUCCCGACCGACGGUGACAACAAGGUGUCGUUUGACAGCUUGUUGAAGUCCGUGACCCGCGCAAGCGGUUGAUGCAGUGUGAAUCUGCAACCGACAGUACAGUCUGGAUGGGAGAAGAAAUUG
RNAcentral lists this non-coding RNA (147 nucleotides) under Furfurilactobacillus rossiae. RNAcentral describes it as "Lactobacillus rossiae FMN sequence". It matches the Rfam family "FMN riboswitch aptamer (RFN element)". From Rfam's summary of the family: The RFN element is a highly conserved domain that is found frequently in the 5'-untranslated regions of prokaryotic mRNAs that encode for flavin mononucleotide (FMN) biosynthesis and transport proteins. This element is a metabolite-dependent riboswitch that directly binds FMN in the absence of proteins. In Bacillus subtilis, the riboswitch most likely controls gene expression by causing premature transcription termination within the 5' untranslated region of the ribDEAHT operon and precluding access to the ribosome-binding site of ypaA mRNA. RNAcentral also lists the same sequence under 1 other name. Lineage: Bacteria; Bacillati; Bacillota; Bacilli; Lactobacillales; Lactobacillaceae. The record is from RNAcentral.